This 311-nucleotide long non-coding RNA is filed under the name Homo sapiens (human). Its description in RNAcentral is "LNC_000486". The record is from RNAcentral. Lineage: Eukaryota; Metazoa; Chordata; Mammalia; Primates; Hominidae.
CUUCAGGACUGGCCCUUGGCUGGCUCCUAGGAAAUGAACUCUGAACCCUAGGAAUAUUAUGCCUGUAAACACUCCACAAUGCCAGGAAGAAUUUCCUAUAAUGGCUGUGCCACUACUCUGCUUGAAAAUCGUCACUGACUUCGCCUCAUCUGUGAAGAGUCCAUCCUUCCCACCAUGACAUACAAAAGCCUGAGUGAUCUGGUUCCAGCCCAUUCCUGUGGGUUUGUCUCCUGUUAUUCCCUACCUUGUGUUCUAGCCAUUUUGAAUUAUCUCAAGUGCCUGGAAUGGGCAUAUUUCUCAGGUGCCUGUGC